AUUGAACGCUGGCGGCAUGCUUUACACAUGCAAGUCGAACGGCAGCGCGGGCUUCGGCCUGGCGGCGAGUGGCGAACGGGUGAGUAAUGCAUCGGAACGUGCCCAGUAUUUGGGGAUAGCCCGGCGAAAGCCGGAUUAAUACCGCAUACGACCUGAGGUUGAAAGCGGGGGAUCGAAAGGCCUCGCGCUAUUGGAGCGGCCGAUGUCGGAUUAGCUAGUUGGUGGGGUAAAGGCUUACCAAGGCGACGAUCCGUAGCUGGUCUGAGAGGACGACCAGCCACACUGGGACUGAGACACGGCCCAGACUCCUACGGGAGGCAGCAGUGGGGAAUUUUGGACAAUGGGGGCAACCCUGAUCCAGCCAUGCCGCGUGCGGGAAGAAGGCCUUCGGGUUGUAAACCGCUUUUGUUCGGGAAGAAAUCCUCUGGGCUAAUACCCCGGGGGGAUGACGGUACCGGAAGAAUAAGCACCGGCUAACUACGUG
This 484-nucleotide ribosomal RNA is filed under the name uncultured bacterium. RNAcentral describes it as "partial 16S ribosomal RNA". It matches the Rfam family "Bacterial small subunit ribosomal RNA", at positions 29 to 507 of the family's 1533-position model. The record is from RNAcentral.